Otolemur garnettii (small-eared galago) is the source of this 381-nucleotide non-coding RNA. The record is from the annotation of a RefSeq genome assembly. Lineage: Eukaryota; Metazoa; Chordata; Mammalia; Primates; Galagidae.
AUGAAGACACUAACUGGAUCUUUGUUCUUGUUUUUCUGGCUGCAGCUAGAUUGCACAAGUAGAGGAGAGGAGGUGAAGCAGAGUCCUUUCCUGAGUGUCCGAGAGGGAGACAACUCCGUUAUCAACUGUACUUACACAGACAGUACCUCCACCUACUUCUACUGGUAUAAGCAAGGACCUGAAGGCCUCCAGUGGCUUAUAACUAUUCUUUCAAAUGCAGAGAAGAAACAAGACGGAAGACUCUCUGUCUGGUUGAAUAAGACGGAAAAACAUCUCUCCCUGAACAUCUCAGACACCCAACCUGGAGACUCAGCUGUCUACUUCUGUGCAACGAGUACACAUUGCUUCUCAGGCACCUGCAGCCUGUACCCAAACCUAUGA